Molecule: transfer RNA, 69 nt
Filed under: Cephalopachus bancanus (Horsfield's tarsier)
Lineage: Eukaryota; Metazoa; Chordata; Mammalia; Primates; Tarsiidae
Description: tRNA-His
Rfam family: tRNA
About the family: Transfer RNA (tRNA) molecules are approximately 80 nucleotides in length. Their secondary structure includes four short double-helical elements and three loops (D, anti-codon, and T loops).
Source: RNAcentral
GUAAAUAUAGUUUAAACAAAACAUUAGAUUGUGAGUCUAACAAUAGAAGCCAAAAAUUUCUUAUUUACC